RNAcentral lists this unclassified non-coding RNA (172 nucleotides) under Mucor abundans. RNAcentral's name for it is "partial internal transcribed spacer 2". Lineage: Eukaryota; Fungi; Mucoromycota; Mucoromycetes; Mucorales; Mucoraceae. The record is from RNAcentral. RNAcentral also lists the same sequence under 1 other name.
ACACCCCACAUUCAAAUCUUUUUUUGAAUGGAACUUGGAGUUACAGUUUUACGACCGUACUCUUUAAUUAUAUUAGGCCUGAUCUUGUUUAGACUGCCUGAACUUUUUUUUAAUAUAAAGGAAAGUUUUGACAAAAUAAACUGUGCUGGGGCCUUUAAACAAUCUUUCUUAA